CAAGUCGAGCGAUGAAGCACCUUCGGGUGUGAAUUAGCGGCGAACGGGUGGGGAACACGUGAAGAAUCUGCCUUCAACUCUGGGAUAACUCCGGGAAACCGGGGCUAAUACCGGAUAUGAGCCCUGAUCGCAUGAUCGGGGCUGGAAAGUUUUUCGGUUGAAGAUGACUUCGCGGCCUAUCAGCUUGUUGGUGAGGUAAUGGCUCACCAAGGCGACGACGGGUAGCCGGCCUGAGAGGGCGACCGGCCACACUGGGACUGAGACACGGCCCAGACUCCUACGGGAGGCAGCAGUGGGGAAUAUUGGGCAAUGGAGGAAACUCUGACCCAGCGACGCCGCGUGAGGGAUGAAGGCCUUCGGGUUGUAAACCUCUUUCAGUAGGGAAGAAGCGAAAGUGACGGUACCUACAGAAGAAGCACCGGCUAACUAUGUGCCAGCAGCCGCGGUAAUACAUAGGGUGCAAGCGUUGUCCGGAAUUAUUGGGCGUAAAGAGCUCGUAGGUGGUUCGAUACGUCGGAUGUGAAAAUCAGGGGCUCAACCCCUGACCUGCAUCCGAUACGGUCGAGCUGGAGUUUGGUAGGGGAGACUGGAAUUCCUGGUGUAGCGGUGGAAUGCGCAGAUAUCAGGAGGAACACCGAUGGCGAAGGCAGGUCUCUGGGCCAAUACUGACACUGAGGAGCGAAAGCGUGGGGAGCGAACAGGAUUAGAUACCCUGGUAGUCCACGCCGUAAACGGUGGGCGCUAGUUGUGCGAACCUUCCACGGUUUGUGCGACGCAGCUAACGCAUUAAGCGCCCCGCCUGGGGAGUACGAUCGCAAGAUUAAAACUCAAAGGAAUUGACGG
Molecule: ribosomal RNA, 843 nt
Filed under: uncultured bacterium
Lineage: Bacteria
Description: bacterial SSU rRNA
Rfam family: Bacterial small subunit ribosomal RNA
Source: RNAcentral